CAAGCUGUUCUAUUAGGUGAGGUUUUCUUUUACAUUGAAUAUUUUGGUGUGCAAUUCACUAUAGUUUGA
RNAcentral lists this transfer RNA (69 nucleotides) under Blattodea sp. MT-2014. RNAcentral's name for it is "tRNA-Val". Lineage: Eukaryota; Metazoa; Arthropoda; Insecta; Blattodea. The record is from RNAcentral.